RNAcentral lists this ribosomal RNA (468 nucleotides) under uncultured bacterium. RNAcentral's name for it is "partial 16S ribosomal RNA". It matches the Rfam family "Bacterial small subunit ribosomal RNA", at positions 28 to 507 of the family's 1533-position model. The record is from RNAcentral.
GACGAACGCUGGCGGCGUGCUUAACACAUGCAAGUCGAACGGAAAGGCCCUGCUUUUGUGGGGUGCUCGAGUGGCGAACGGGUGAGUAACACGUGAGUAACCUGUCCCUGACUUUGGGAUAACUUCAGGAAACUGGGGCUAAUACCGGAUAGGAGCUCCUGCUGCAUGGUGGGGGUUGGAAAGUUUCGGCGGUUGGGGAUGGACCCGCGGCUUAUCAGCUCGUUGGUGGGGUAGUGGCUUACCAAGGCUUUGACGGGUAGCCGGCCUGAGAGGGUGACCGGCCACAUUGGGACUGAGAUACGGCCCAGACUCCUACGGGAGGCAGCGGUGGGGAAUAUUGCACAAUGGGCGGACGCCUGAUGCAGCGACGCCGCGUGCGGGAUGACGGCCUCCGGGUUGUAAACCGCUUUCGCCUGUGACGAGGCGUGAGUGACGGUAAUGGGUAAAGAAGCACCGGCUAACUACGUG